GACGAACGCUGGCGGCGUGCCUAAUACAUGCAAGUCGAGCGCUGACGGAUGGUACUUGUACCAACUGGAUGAGCAGCGAACGGGUGAGUAACGCGUGGGUAAUCUGCCAUUGAGCGGGGGACAACAUCUGGAAACGAAUGCUAAUACCGCAUCAAAACUUUAAACACAAGAUUUAAGUUUGAAAGAUGCAAUUGCAUCACUCAAAGAUGAUCCCGCGUUGUAUUAGCUAGUUGGUGAGGUAAAGGCUCACCAAGGCGAUGAUACAUAGCCGACCCGAGAGGGUGGUCGGCCAACAUGGGACCGAGAACACGCCCCAACCCCCUCGGGGGGCAACCGUAGGGGAUCUUCGGCCAUGGACGGAAGGCUGGCCGAGGCACGCCGCGGUGGGGGAGGAGGUUCUUGGGGCGGUAAACUCUUUUUGUAGGGAAGAACGUUGGUGAGAGUGGAAAGCUCAUGAAGUGACGGUAACUAAACAGAAAGCACCGGCUAACUACGUG
This 497-nucleotide ribosomal RNA is filed under the name uncultured bacterium. Its description in RNAcentral is "partial 16S ribosomal RNA". It matches the Rfam family "Bacterial small subunit ribosomal RNA", at positions 28 to 507 of the family's 1533-position model. The record is from RNAcentral.